This 124-nucleotide microRNA precursor is filed under the name Hordeum vulgare. Its description in RNAcentral is "microRNA MIR1122". It matches the Rfam family "MIR1120/MIR1122 microRNA precursor family". The record is from RNAcentral. Lineage: Eukaryota; Viridiplantae; Streptophyta; Magnoliopsida; Poales; Poaceae.
AAUGUACUUCCUCUGUCUGGAAAUACUUGUCUUAAAAAUGGAUAAAUGUAGACUUAUUUUAGUUAUAGAUAUAUUUUAUUUAUUUAUUUUUAGGACAAGUAUUUCUGGACAGAGGGAGUAAAAA